This 301-nucleotide ribosomal RNA is filed under the name uncultured bacterium. RNAcentral describes it as "partial 16S ribosomal RNA". It matches the Rfam family "Bacterial small subunit ribosomal RNA", at positions 509 to 807 of the family's 1533-position model. The record is from RNAcentral.
CAGCCGCCGCGGGAAUACGAAGGGGGCUAGCGUUGUUCGGAAUUACUGGGCGUAAAGCGCACGUAGGCGGAUAUUUAAGUCAGGGGUGAAAUCCCAGAGCUCAACUCUGGAACUGCCUUUGAUACUGGGUAUCUCGAGUAUGGAAGAGGUGAGUGGAAUUCCGAGUGUAGAGGUGAAAUUCGUAGAUAUUCGGAGGAACACCAGUGGCGAAGGCGGCUCACUGGUCCAUUACUGACGCUGAGGUGCGAAAGCGUGGGGAGCAAACAGGAUUAGAUACCCCCGUAGUCCCUGUCUCUUAUAC